AGGAUUAACGCUGGCGGCGUGCAUGAAACAUGCAAGUCGAGCGCGGUGUGAUGCGGGGUAACCCAAUUCACAUCUAGCGGCGAACGGGUGAGUAACACGUGAGCAACCUACCUUUGAGUUGGGGAUAGCCCUGGGAAACCAGGAUUAAUACCCGAUGUGGUCACAACAGGACAUCCUGAUGUGAGUAAAGGCGUAAGCCGCUCAAUGACGGGCUCGCGGCCUAUUAGCUUGUUGGUGGGGUAACGGCCUACCAAGGCGAUGAUGGGUAGCUGGUCUGAGAGGACGAUCAGCCACACUGGGACUGAGACACGGCCCAGACUCCUACGGGAGGCAGCAGUUAGGAAUUUUCCGCAAUGGGCGAAAGCCUGACGGAGCAACGCCGCGUGAGUGAUGAAGACCUUCGGGUUGUAAAGCUCUGUCGGAGGGAAGAACACAAUGACGGUACCUCCAACGAAAGCCCCGGCUAACUACGUGCCAGCAGCCGC
RNAcentral lists this ribosomal RNA (485 nucleotides) under uncultured bacterium. Its description in RNAcentral is "SSU rRNA". It matches the Rfam family "Bacterial small subunit ribosomal RNA", at positions 26 to 518 of the family's 1533-position model. The record is from RNAcentral.